RNAcentral lists this ribosomal RNA (403 nucleotides) under uncultured bacterium. RNAcentral describes it as "partial 16S ribosomal RNA". It matches the Rfam family "Bacterial small subunit ribosomal RNA", at positions 28 to 526 of the family's 1533-position model. The record is from RNAcentral.
GACGAACGCUGGCGGCGUGCCUAAUACAUGCAAGUCGAACGCAGUGGGGACGGGUGAGUAACACGUGGGUAACCUCCCAUCAGAGGGGAUAACACUUGGAAACAGGUGCUAAACCGCUACUGAUGGAUGGACCCGCGGUGCAUUAGCUAGGUGGGGAGGUAACGGCUCACCAAGGCCACGAUGCAUAGCCGGCCUGAGAGUGUGACGUGCCACACUGGGACGGAGACACGGCCCAGACUCCUCAGGGAGGCAGCAGUAGGGAAUCUGCGGCAAUGGACGAAAGUCUGACCGAGCAACGCCGCGGGAGUGAAGAAGGUUUUCGGAUCGUAAAACGCUGUUGUUAGAGAAGCGGUAUCUAACCAGAAAGCCACGGCUAACUACGUGCCAGCAGCCGCGGUAAUAC